ACUCCUCGGGAGGCAGCAGUGGGGAAUUUUGCUCAUCGGGGGAAACCCUGACGCAACAUCGCCGCGUGGAGGAUGAAGUCCCUUGGGACUUUCACUCCUUUCAAUCGGGACGAUAAUGACGGUACCGGAAGAAAAAGCCCCGGCUAACUUCGUGCCGUCAUCCGCGGUAAUACGAGGGGGGCAAGCGUUGUUCAGAAUUAUUGGGCGUAAAGGGUGCGUACGUGGUUCGGCAAGUCUUGUGUGAAAUCUUCUUGCUCAACUUGAAGUCUGCAUAAGAAACUGCCGGGCUUGAGUGUGGGAGAGGUGAGUGGAAUUUCCGGUGUANCGGUGAAAUGCGUAGAUAUCGGAAGGAACUCCUGUGGCGAAAGCGGCUCACUGGACCAUUACUGACACUGAGGCACGAAAGCUAGGGGAGCAAACAGGAUUAGAUACCCUGGUAGUCCUAGCCCUAAACGAUGAUCGCUUGGUGUGGCGGGUAUCCCACCCUGCCGUGCCGAACCUAACGCGUUAAGCGAUCCGCCUGGGGAGUACGGUCCCAUGGCUGCAACUCCCAUGANUUGACUGGGGCCCGCACAAGCGGUGGAGCANGUGGUUUAAUUCGACNCNNCGCGAAGAANCUUACCUGGGCUCGANAUGUANUGNACAGGGGUAGACAUAUCCCCUCCUANCAAUAGGUCGCUAUAUANGUGCUGCAUGUCUGUCGUCAGCUCGUGUCGUGAUAUGUUGGGUUACGUCCCGCAACNAUCGCAACCCUUAUCUCCAGGUGCCAUCAUUCAG
RNAcentral lists this ribosomal RNA (777 nucleotides) under uncultured bacterium. Its description in RNAcentral is "bacterial SSU rRNA". It matches the Rfam family "Bacterial small subunit ribosomal RNA", at positions 335 to 1128 of the family's 1533-position model. The record is from RNAcentral.